Molecule: transfer RNA, 71 nt
Organism: Loxodonta africana (African savanna elephant)
Lineage: Eukaryota; Metazoa; Chordata; Mammalia; Proboscidea; Elephantidae
Rfam family: tRNA
About the family: Transfer RNA (tRNA) molecules are approximately 80 nucleotides in length. Their secondary structure includes four short double-helical elements and three loops (D, anti-codon, and T loops). Further hydrogen bonds mediate the characteristic L-shaped molecular structure. tRNAs have two regions of fundamental functional importance: the anti-codon, which is responsible for specific mRNA codon recognition, and the 3' end, to which the tRNAs corresponding amino acid is attached (by aminoacyl-tRNA synthetases). tRNAs cope with the degeneracy of the genetic code in two manners: having more than one tRNA (with a specific anti-codon) for a particular amino acid; and 'wobble' base-pairing, i.e. permitting non-standard base-pairing at the 3rd anti-codon position.
Source: Rfam
ACAGUGGUGGUUCAGUGGUAGAAUUCUCACCUUCCACGCUGGAGACCUGGGUUCAAUUCCUGGCCAGUGCA